Molecule: long non-coding RNA, 4147 nt
Organism: Carya illinoinensis
Lineage: Eukaryota; Viridiplantae; Streptophyta; Magnoliopsida; Fagales; Juglandaceae
Exons: 5
Source: RefSeq, a predicted model, not a curated record
UUGUGGGUUCAUCAUGCCGUCACGGUGGAAUGAAAGUGAACAUCUAGGUGCACCAUUUCCGUAUGAGUUCUCGAGCCUCACGGUUUCGGAACGGGUUCAGUCCUCUAGUGGAUGAGCUACUUCCGAGACCCACCUUCUCUCGUCUUGAAAGGGGUGUUAGAUGAGGUUGAUUUUAAGUAGAUAAGCUGCCCACCCACUAAAUUUACGUGUAUUAGAUACUGUUCCAUAGAAAUAUCUAUUCAAAUAGCGUGAUGGGUGAAGAUGAAGAUGGAAGGCCACCCAAGCCUUCUACAUUGACCCGGGGAUAUCAUGGUACUGCAAUUCCAUAUGGCCCGCCAUAUAUGAUGCCUACAUAUCAAAAUCCAUAUUCUUAUACUUGGGGUAGCCAGCAUUUCGCAAUGCCACCCUUUGGGCCAACCAUGCCAUACCUUAUGUCGAGUAAUUUGGAGGAGCUGAGAGGAGGUGAAGAUACAACCCAAGUAGCUAUUUAAGGUCACUUUUUAUGGUUUAUCUUGUACCUCCGUAUUUCUUUAGUAAAUAACACAAUAAGGAAAAUACAGCAUUCAGCAAUGCCUCAUGACGAACCAACUAUGCGAAAUCCAAAUUUUCCAAGUGGUUCAUCAUCUAUGCAAUUUAGUGUUGAAAGUGAAAAGAAUGUUCGAGGUACACUUUUCACUUUAUUAUAUUAACAUCCUAUGUAUAUAAAAUCCAAGUUUUUCCUAACCUUGUCCCAUUUCCUUUUCAGAAACUUCACCCGACAUAAAUUUGUAAUCCCCAAAGCGGAAGAGAUGUUUGAAGAUUCAGACGAAGAUAAUAAAGUUGAGCCUCCGAAAGCUGGUAUGAAAUUUGGGUCUGAUAAAAAGGUUUUAGUGUACUACAAACGAUAUGCCAAACAAGAGGGUUUUGGUGUUAUUAUAAGAAGGAUGAAGAGAGAUAUAGAUGGGAGUGCAAAGUAUGUGACGAUUUCGUGUGCAAGUGGCGGCAAGUACUAUCCUAGUGUCGAUCGCAAUUUAUCAAAGCCACGGCCGACGACAAAAAUGGAUUGUAAGGCGAAGGUUAAUGCUUGCCUUGUGAAUGGGGAAUGUGUGUUGACCAGUGUCGAUCUUGUUCAGAAUCAUAGUACUGUUAGCCCUAAAAAAUUCCAAUUUUUUAGAUCUCACAAAAAUUUAGAUGAAUACAGUCAGAAGAUGCUCAACUUGAAUGAUAGAGUAGGUAUUCAAAUGCAUAAAAAUUUCAAUGCACUUGUGACUGAAGCUGGGGGUAUGAGAACUUGGAUUUCCAAGAGAAAGAUUGUAAAAAUUUUAUUGACAGAGCUAGAGUUUUGAGAAUGGGUAAAGGAGGUGGGGAAGCACUGAACGAAUAUUUUAAGAGAAUGAGGAAAAUGAAUGAUGGCUUUGUGUCCGUCAUGGAUGUGGAUGAUGAGUUUAGAGUUAGGAAUGUCUUUUGGGUUGAUGCAAGAAGUCGAGCAGCAUAUGAGUAUUUUGGAGAUGUGAUCACGUUCAAUAGGACGUACCUCACAAAUAGGUAUGGAAUGCCCUUUGCUCCCUUUUUCGGUGUUAAUCAUCACGGACAGUCCAUACUUUUAGGGGCAGGCUUAAUUUCUAGCGAGGAUACAAGUACUUUCAUCUGGUUGUUUGAAGCAUGGUUAGAAUGCAUGAAUGGACGGGCACCCCAAGCAAUCAUAACAGACCAAGACAGGGCAAUGAAGAAUGCCAUUGGAGUAGUAUUCCCGAACACAAAGCAUAGAUAUUGUCUAUAAUGCGGAAACUGCCUGAAAAAUUGGGAUCCCACGCAGAAUACAACGGGUUGAAGACUGCCAUUCAGAAUGCAGUCUAUGAUACACAGAGUUGCCAAGAAUUUGAGGAGAAAUGGGGGCAGCUAAUGCAUAACUAUGAUCUUACUGAUAAUGCAUGGUUGCAAGGGUUGUACAUCGAGAGAUCAUUUUGGGACCAGUUUAUUUGAAAGGUGUAUUCUGGGCUGGCUUGAGCACUACCCAACGUUCUGAAAGCAUGAAUGCCUUUUUCGACAGAUUUGUACAUUCCGGUACGACCUUAAAAGAAAUUGUCGAUCAGUUCGACAAUGCUUUGAGGAAGAAGGUGGAGACGGAGACAACAGCUGAUUUCCAAUCCUGUAUCCAAACGAUCCCAUGUGUUUCACCAUUCAAAAUUGAGAGGCAGUUUCAGUCAUGUUACACGAAUGCAAAAUUUAAAGAGAUCCAGGUAGAGGUUUUGGGGAUGCUUUUAUGUAACCUUUCAGUUGUCAGCACACAAGGUAGCAUUUCUACCUUCGAUGUUUUUGAAGAAAUUUCCACCCCCGAUGGACAGUCCAAAAUUUUGAAGUAUCUAGUUUACUUGAAUGAAUAGGAAUUCGAAGAUAAAUGCACUUGUGCCCUGUUUGAGAUGAGGGAGAUUAUUUGUAGGCAUGCAUUUAAAGUAUGUCAGAUAAAGUACAUUCAUGAUUUGCUAGAGAAAUAUGUGUUGGACCGAUGGCGGAAGGAUACAAAGAGAAGAUACACACUGGUUAAGAGUAGCUAUGAUGAUUGUGGGGUCAAUGCAGAUGCACGUCGGUAUGAGCUUGUUGUUAAAAGAUGUAUAAGAUUUGCGACCUGUAUAUCGCGAAAUGAUGAGCAUGUGAAUGCAUUCUUCCAAUUUUUGGAUGAGUUUGAGCAAAAGUUGGUAGGUGUAGAGCCUGUCACCUAUUCAACAAAGGUGACAGAGAAUGUGAACGCCGCUAGGGGUAAGAAAAUUUUUUAAAUCCACAUGUUGUUCGGGGGAAAUGGAGGCCGCCAACGCCAAGAAAGGUCCCGAUAGUCAAGAAGGCUGCUGGGAAGAGGAAGAGGAAACAUGUAUUUCACAUCUUGGUUCGUCAGUUGUGAGGUUUUUGAAUUGCAUACAUUUGGGUUCCUAAUAUAUGUUAUUUUCUGUUUUCCAAUUUAGGUAAAGAGGAAAAUAUUUGAUGAUGAAUCACAAAAAGUCGACCAAACGGUGUUAGAAGUUGGUGCUACUGUUGACGAGAAUGUGAUCCCAACCCAGUGUAGUAAUUUAACACAAGUAACGCCACUAGCCAAUGAUCAGGCUAUGCCAAGCUUGCCCCAUGAUACUUAGCAUUGGAUAGUGUAUGUGUAUUUUGGAGAUAAAAGAUGUAUUGUGAACUGUGGUGGGAGAUAGAGAUUGGAGCAACAAAUUUUGUCAACUAUGGUAAGCGGGAGAAAUGUCGAGAAUGUGGUAUUUAAGUUUUAAUUUUCUGCAAUACACCAAUUUAGAAUUUUCAGAUAGUUUUUUAAUGUUUUGUUUUGCUUCAGUUGCAUUAUUUUAAUCUCCUAAAAUAGCAUAUAUAUAUAAUCCAAUUUAUCUUUAGCACAUCCAAGAACUCCCUUGGUGUUGGUAACGGGGAUUUUCGCUCUUUUAACAUAUUUGUGGUUGUGCACAUGCAGUUUUGUAUGGGGGUAGAGAAUGAUCAUCAUCAUUGUCGGGUCUACUACCUUUGAAAUUUGGAGAGUGUAGCGAAUAUUAUCUCGGCGUCUGAGCCAUACGGAGUGAAACAUAACAUACCAUUGAAACAGAUAUUUUAUUUAUUGGGAUUUAGAAGCUUGACUUCUAAAACCAUUGUGCUUUCUAAUUAUUUUGUUAUGAAUGUGAAAUAUUUAUUUGAAAGUUUAUUAUAUAUGUGUAGGAACACCACUAACUUGAAAUAUUUGCAUUUAAUAUCUUGCAGGGACUAUUAGCAGAUGGUAUUCGGUUAUUUUGAUCCUACUCAACAGUGUAGGGAAUGUGUAUGUAUUUUGGCAAUUUUUUGGAGGGUAUGGCAUAGGAGUUGAAAGGAGAAUCACUUUUGUUAGUGUAUUUUGAAAGAAGAAUCACUUUUGUGAAGGAAGUUGAAAGGAGAAUCACAGGUGUAAAGGAAUUUGUAUAUGAAAAUGUGAAAUAUUUAUUUGUAAAUUCAUGGUUGUAUAUGAAGUGAAACAAAUAUUUGUAAAUAAAAAUGUAUAUGAAGUGGAACAUGUGAAUGCAGCAGGUAGUUCAUCAUUUGGUAAUAAGUUACAAAUAAAUAGCAUAGAUAUUGAAUGGUACAGCACUACUAGGUUGAAAUACUUGCUAUUUGGAUGCUUAUGUAAAUUCUGUAUGUUUGGUGGUUGCUGAACAUAACA